Molecule: ribosomal RNA, 493 nt
Filed under: uncultured bacterium
Lineage: Bacteria
Description: bacterial SSU rRNA
Rfam family: Bacterial small subunit ribosomal RNA
Source: RNAcentral
GACGAACGCUGGCGGCGUGCUUAACACAUGCAAGUCGAACGGUGAUCUUGAGAGCUUGCUCUUGGGUGAUCAGUGGCGAACGGGUGAGUAACACGUGAGUAACCUGCCCCUGACUCUGGAAUAACUUCGGGAAACCGAAGCUAAUACCGGAUAUGACACAGAGCCGCAUGGUUUCUGUGUGGAAAGUUUUUCGGUUGGGGAUGGACUCGCGGCCUAUCAGCUUGUUGGUGAGGUAAUGGCUCACCAAGGCGACGACGGGUAGCCGGCCUGAGAGGGCGACCGGCCACACUGGGACUGAGACACGGCCCAGACUCCUACGGGAGGCAGCAGUGGGGAAUAUUGCACAAUGGGCGAAAGCCUGAUGCAGCGACGCCGCGUGAGGGAUGAAGGCCUUCGGUUGUAACCUCUUCAGUAGGAAGAAGACGCAAGUGACGGUACCGUACAGAAGAAGACACCGGCGUAACUACGUGCCAGCAGCCGCGGUAAACGUAGA